Molecule: long non-coding RNA, 1458 nt
Organism: Engraulis encrasicolus (European anchovy)
Lineage: Eukaryota; Metazoa; Chordata; Actinopteri; Clupeiformes; Engraulidae
Exons: 7
Source: RefSeq, a predicted model, not a curated record
GACGCAGGUCUGACGCUCAACGUCAAGUACGUAACUCUGCUUCUCAAUUUUCUGACAAAGCCGCCAUCUUGGUGCUGCAGGAAAGCCGUUUGAGAUAUUGGUGGAAUUCAAACACUUUGUGAGAUGACAGAAUAUUGCUGAAGGAUCCUACAUAAGGCUGGCUGAUUACACGGAGUGAUUCCUCUGGUGUGGUGUACCUCAGAGAAAUAAACACUGUUGCAAGAGCUGAGAAGAUGGCCAAGAUAUCCUUAUUGCUGGAUGGUAGCUCUGGUCGUAGUGGACCAUAUCUGCAAAUGCUUCUGAACAUUGACAGAAUUUCUAAAGAUGACUGAGAAUAUUACUGAAGGAUCCUACAUGGAAGCUGUCUGAUUACACUGAGUGAUUCCUCUGGUGUGGUGUACCUCAGAGAAAAUAAACACUGUUGCAAGAGGUGAGAAGAUAUCCUUAUUGCUGGAUGGUUGCUCUCUGGUCGUACUUGAGCCCCCUGGACCAUGUCUGCAAAUGCUUCUGAACAUUGACAGAAUUUCUAAAGGAUCGCUGAGGACUCCCCCUCCAUGCGUGACAUCUUUGAGAAAUUUCCACGCUUUCUGGAGAUGCCAAGUUUGACUGGAACCAACUUUGCAUCCCUCGGCACUGACACUGAGAAGGUUUCAAGGACCCCACUACUAGGAGGCGAGAGUUUGACACGGCAUUGUCAUCACUGCCAUGGAUGACAACGUAACCAUUCCUGUUGCUGAUUGCCUGACUUGCGCAGUGACAAGCUUUUCAUGCUCUACUGGGUGUGUAACUUGGCAUAUCCACCACAGUUUAACUCUGUUUUUGCCUCUUUUGAAUAUGUGUACGAUAUAACCAUCUCAACCAACACGUGGGCCAAGGUACUGGAACAUUUCUCACUUCAAGUUGCUCUGUAGUCACUGGACAUUUUUUUAAACAUCUACGCAGUCACCACCACUCCACACCAUGUGCAUUUUAAUUACUUCUGAUUCCACUGACAUGCAGACUACAUCCUAUGCAAUUUCAGGUAAUUUACCUGGUACUGGAGAAACAGCAUUGUAUGCCAUUCUAAGUGAUACUUGCCUCGUUGUUUUGCAAAAAUGUACUGUUCUUUGAAUAUAACUUAAAGUAAGAUCAUGUUGACUCUGAGGUUUUCUCCGGUUGUCAAGCACAACCUUAACGUUUUGUAAGUAAGUAAUAGUCACAGGAUAUGCAUGCAUUUGUAAUUUGAAUUUUCGUUGAAAACGGCUCACCAAGCAUAAAAUGUUACCUCUGCUUUUGAUUUUUCUUUUUUUUUUAAAUGUCCCUUAAUACCAGCCUGUCUUUUUGUUGUGUCCACACAACUUUACCAUCAUCAGUGUUGGGAAGGAACAGAUUGCUGUAAGUUACUGUAUCCCCAUCCUUUCAGAUCAGUGCUUUAAAGCCUUUUGAAAUUAAAUUGUUAAUAAACUUUGUGAAAACAAA